Molecule: ribosomal RNA, 486 nt
Filed under: uncultured bacterium
Lineage: Bacteria
Description: partial 16S ribosomal RNA
Rfam family: Bacterial small subunit ribosomal RNA
Source: RNAcentral
GACGAACGCUGGCGGCGUGCUUAACACAUGCAAGUCGAACGGUGACCUGGGGAGCUUGCUCCCUGGUGAUCAGUGGCGAACGGGUGAGUAACACGUGAGUAACCUGCCCCAGACUCUGGGAUAACUUCGGGAAACCGGAGCUAAUACCGGAUCUGACGCGGAGACGCAUGUCUACCGUGUGGACAGGUUUUCGGUCUGGGAUGGGCUCGCGGCCUAUCAGCUAGGUGGUGAGGUGAUGGCUCACCAAGGCGACGACGGGUAGCCGGCCUGAGAGGGCGACCGGCCACACUGGGACUGAGACACGGCCCAGACUCCUACGGGAGGCAGCAGUGGGGAAUAUUGCACAAUGGGCGAAAGCCUGAUGCAGCGACGCCGCGUGAGGGAUGACGGCCUUUGGGUUGUAAACCUCUUUCAGCAGGGAAGAAGCGCAAGUGACGGUACCUGCAGAAGAAGCACCGGCUAACUACGUGCCAGCCGCCGCGGUAA